This 12733-nucleotide unclassified non-coding RNA is filed under the name Diabrotica virgifera virgifera (western corn rootworm). RNAcentral describes it as "endoplasmic reticulum resident protein 44-like". Lineage: Eukaryota; Metazoa; Arthropoda; Insecta; Coleoptera; Chrysomelidae. The record is from RNAcentral.
UUGUCAUCCUUUUAUGUCAAAAUAUUAGUUAGAUGACGUUUGCCGUUCAUCGUUUACUUUACGGUAUUUACUGUAGGUCUUAAUGCAAGGUUGAUAAAUCAGUGUAUUUUUUAUUUAUUCUUAUAGAAACUUUCAUACUAUGAUGACUUUUAGGAUACCAAAAAUGUACAACAUUAGAACUACUCUAUUUUUAUUAACUGCGAUUAUUUACUUAAUAGAACCAACAGAUAGUGGAGCUGUACAGCUUACUGAACAAAAUUUAGAUAAUGUAUUGGCUUCCAAUGAAUUAGUAUUUAUAAAUUUUUAUGCCGACUGGUGUAGGUUUAGUAAUCUGUUGAUGCCUAUAUUUGAUGAAACGGCAGAAGCAAUAGCCAAAGAAUUUCCAGAAGCUGGAAAAGUUGUGAUAGGUAAAGUGGAUUGUGAUAAAGAAAGCAGUAUAUCUUCAAAGUACCACAUCACAAAAUAUCCAACCCUAAAAGUGAUUCGUAAUGGCCAGCCAGCAAAGAGAGAGUAUAGAGGACAAAGAUCAGUAGAGGCUUUUACAACUUUUAUUAAGAAACAGUUAGAAGACCCAGUGAAAGAGUUUAAACAACUAAAAGAAUUGGGAGAAUUAGAAUCAGAGAAGAGGAUCAUCAUAGGUUACUUCGAUCGUCGUGACCAGCCACAGUACAGUAUUCUCCGUCGCGUAGCCACCAACCUCAAAGACGACUGCGACUUCCAUGUCGGGUUCGCUGAAGCUUCCCAACAAAUGCAUCCCGCAGGUCAGCCCAUCAUAGUCUUUAGACCCGACAAGAUUCGUACAAACGAUCGUGACGAAACUUAUCCCGGAGGUUUCACCAACUUCGAUGAGUUGCACAAUUGGGCAUUGGAGAAAUGCGUGCCCUUGGUUAGAGAAAUUACCUUCGAGAACGCUGAAGAAUUGACAGAAGAAGGAUUGCCAUUCUUGAUUCUUUUCCAUGCUCCUGACGAUAAAGACAGCAUUAGGACGUUUAAUCAAAUUGUGUUGACCGAGUUGUAUUCGGAGAAAUCAUCGAUCAACUUCCUUACCGCUGAUGGCAAGAAAUUCGCCCAUCCACUCCACCAUCUCGGCAAAUCAGAAAAGGAUCUGCCACUUAUUGCCAUCGACAGCUUCAGACAUAUGUACCUAUUCCCCAAUUAUCAAGACAUCAACGUCCCCAACAAAUUGAAGCAAUUCCUCAAGGACCUCUACUCUGGCAAAUUGCACAGAGAGUUCCAUUAUGGUCCUGAUUCGGACAGUAACACCGAGCAGCAACAAACAACACCACCCGACAGUACUUUCAAGAAAUUAGCUCCGUCGAAGAAUAGGUAUACUUUGUUAGGAAGGGAUGAAUUGUAGGUAUUUUUUCAAAUUAAUAAAUCAAUUUUUGUUUUAUAAAAAGGUACUUUAUAAGGUUUGUUCCAACACACAAUUUUUUGGUCCAGAAAUCGUCACGAAACUACUUGUGCCGUUUUUAUGCGCAUAUUCAUCAUUUGUAUCGUCCGAUGUCGCUAAUUCGAAAACCGAUCCUAGUGCGCAGGUCAGCCCAACCAGUACUUGCAUUUAUCUGAGUACUGAAAUGAUCGUCAAGAAACUGUCACUGGUCGAGUGACAAUUUUUGUUGGAAAGUAUUUUGUUUACUGCGCAGGAGCGUGAUAUUUACUUGACGGUUCAUCGCUGUAUUGGAACAAACCUAUAAUAGUGACAGACGUGAAAAAAGUUGUGAUUAAAGUAAGUAGUCAAAUCAACUGAUACGUGAAUCUUUUGUAGUUAAAAAGUUCCAGUUUUUAUUGGUAUUAUAGUAAAAUAUAUUUAGAAAUAGUUGGUAGUGUAGUUAUAUAUUUUUAUUGUUGGGAAGCUAUAUCUGCAAAGGAAACUGGAAUUUUUGCGGUUUAGAAUAAAUCAGUUGCUUGUUUCACUUUCACGGCUAGUGAUGUUCAGCAAAAUUAAAAGUGAGCUGUAAAUUUUAUUUUUCUUAUGUUUUUCAAUUCAUAGAUUUCUGUAAAACUAAACCCAUCGGGCUCGGUUCUGUUAAAUAUAAUAUAGUCAUUUACUGUCUUUAACGUAUUUACUGUAUUGCCCUCAUUUUGUGCUGUUUCAAAAUAGACAGAUUUAUUUUUGUUCUUAGUGUUAUUCAUUUUAAAACUUACUUAAUUUUGUACACAAUGGCCGUUACGGUCCAAAAGCUUUUUACAGAUGAUGCUUGAACUUUCCUGUGCCGAUGUUAUAGAAUUGUAGCGCCAAUCCUUUAAGGAAUCGAGUAACCUCUUCUUUGACUUUGAUUAUCAUCGCUACUAAGCUUAAGCCACCCAAGUGUUGUUUUAAUUUUAGCAAUAAGUGAUAAUCACUUGGUGCUAUGUCCUGGCUGUAGGGGGGUUGGAUCCAACAGGCCAGCCAAAACCUCUUAGCAGUUGUUCAGUUUGAUAUGAGACAUGAAGUCGAGCGUUGUCAUGGAGAAGCCUCAUACCACUAUUGGACAAUCGUCCACGCAAUCGGUUUUGGAUCGCAAGUCUUUUUAUUUAUUUAUGACUCACAAUAUCUGUCGAAGUUCACUAUAGUGAUGUUGAUUAUACAGUCGAACCCGCUUAUUGGAAUAGCCUUCGUGCUAAGCAAAGGUAUUCCUAUAGCCGGGAUAUUCUAAUAACCGAUCAUUUGUGGAUAGUAGAAACGUUUCAGGGCCUCAAAUUUCUAUUCCUUAAAGCGGGAUAUUCCUAUUCGCGGUAUUCUAAUAAGCGGGUUCGACUGUAGUUACUUUCGAGAAUUCGUUACAAAUCGUUACUUUUUUAUAAAGUAUUUACAGUAUUCGUUACUUUGAUUACUAUGAUUACUUUUGUAUUUGAGUACCGGUAAUCAUAUCGAGAAUCGUAUUUCUCAGUAGAUACAGUCGGAAAAAUGAAAGAAUACCAUGAACGAUCACAUCAAUCACUUAUUUUGUAUUUGCUAUCUUUUUCUAUAACAAACGUUUGUUAUUUAUAGAAAAAGACAGCAAAUACAAAAUAAGUGAUUGGUGUGACCGUUGAUAGGUAUUCUUUCAUUUUUCCGACUGUAGGUAUUUUGUAUAGGUAUUCCGAUAUAACAACGACCUUCACCGAUCUGUUUAAGGGAUAAAAAUGAUUUGAUUACUAUGAUUACUUUUGUAUUUGAGUACCGAUAAUCAUAUCGAGAAUCGUAUUUCUCAGUAGGUAGGUAUUUUGUAUAGGUAUUUCGGUAUAACAACGACCUUCACCGAUCUGUUUAAGGGAUAAAAAUGAUGUGAUUACUAUGAUUACUUUUGUAUUUGGGUACCGGUAAUCAUAUCGAGAAUCGCAUUUCUCAGUACCUAGGUAGGUAUUUUGAAUAGGUACCUAUAGAUAUAGACCUAGAUAAAAACAUAGGGUUCUCGCAUUCGAUCUUUGUUAAUGACAUACAUAUUUUACGUAUACCAUUAUACCUCCCUCUGUUUCAUCUUCUCCUCACCCUCACACCCUUAAAACGCUUCAUACCGAUAACGAUAUUCAAUAACACUCGUAAAAUACCGGUCCCGUCCGUUACUCGCUCGGAUAUUAUAGGUAGAAAGUAAUCAAGUGUACUAGUUGUAGAUACAAUAGUCGUUAUUCGCUCUGAUACGAUUGGUACGAAGUAAUCAGAGCAAUCAAAGUAGAUACAAUAGUCGUUACUCGCUCUGAUACGAUUGGUACUAAGUAAUCAGAGUAAUCAAAGUAGACACAGUAGUCGUCACUCGCUCUGAUACUAUUGGUACGAAGUAAUCAGAGUAACCAAAGUAACGAUUUGCCUUUUCGUAUAGUAAUCGUUACUUUCAGUAUUCGUAAGUAACGAGUAUUUUGUAACUAAUAGUUACUUUUUCAACAUCACUGGUUCACUGUUGUUUCAUGAAAUCAGAAAAUUUUUCGUGAGCCAUGUAAAAAUAUUAUGGCCCUAAUUUCAUAAUGUAAAUUAAAUUUUAAUACAUUAAGCAGUAUAAAGUUACUGUCAGAUCUUUUCUACCGCCAUUGUUUAUUGAUAUAAAUUAUUUUCCGGUAGCUUGGGUUAUAUAUUAAAAAAACUUUAUUUUAAUACAUAAUAUUGGAAUUUUUAUACAGUACUCUGUGCUGCUUCCUUCAUUGCUGUUGUGGAAUUUUAUUGACUUCUAGAAUUGUAUAUUUGACUAUGUUAGAAACCAUCCUGAUAUUUAAUUUUAUCUAUCGGUAUUUUAACUUUACUUUUCCGUUUAUUUAAAAGAAGGUCUUCUGUGGGUUCAAAUUUUGCUGAACAGACUGAACAGAAAUUUUAAAUCUCAUGGCUGUCGCUACCAAAGCUUUUUUCAAAACCAACUAUUGUCAACUUAUUUUAAAACCAACCAAUUAUUAUCAUCACCAACACCGAUUAGAAACUAUAAAACAACAAAAUUUAGGAAAUUUUCAAUAUUUUCUAAGAUAUUCAGUAAUGUGACUACGUUUUGAAAGUUUCUUCCAAGUGGCUGAAGAUACAGAUGAUUACAAAAUAGUAUGAAUUUCAAAAAAGAAAUAACAGAGCUGGUAUUAUGGCAUAAGAAAGAUCGUUCUGUUUAUCGUCGUAACAUACCGUAAAAUAACGUAUUCCUCUGUACGAUAAUGAAGUCGGGAUAAGGAAGUGAAGUGAUACGAAAAUAUUUCAAAAAUACAGCAUCAGUAAAAGCAAUUAUCUUAUUAAGACGUUUUUUGUGACUAAUAUUUUUACUCGUACUCAUAAUGACAUAUUGAGCAUCUGAGCAAAUGAACAUGAGAAUUUAUAGCGCAGAAAAAUUCCGAUUUACAAAAAACGUAGGAGAUAUCUAUCGUAACCUAAAUUCUAUUAUUUAAAAGGAGGCAAAUUGUGUUCAUUUGAAACAAAUAGUUCGAUAUUAUUCUUUUACUAGCGUGUACUGACAUCUAUUUUGUCAUAAUUUUUUUUAUUUCAUUUAUAAAUAGUUGGUUUUGAACUAAAACCCCUCUAAACAUCUGUGGAUCCCAAAGAUUGUUAAAGAUUUUUUUAUUGUAAGCCAAUUCUUCCAUCUAAAUUAAUAAUGUUAAAGUUUAUUACACAUUUCGAUGGUUACUUUUUGGUCUAGAAAUAAUGUACAUAAUAAUUGUUCUCUUUUUGCGCUAUAUAACUUUAAAUUAAAUUAAAUCACAGAUAAAGUGUGUUGAUUGUCAUAAAAUUGGCUUAGAAGAUAUUUUUUGUAUUUUUUAAUCGUUUCGUGACUGUUUGACUAGAUAUUUCACCUUUUUUGUGGGGGGUGAGAAUCUUCAAAAGACCGUCUGGGUAGGUGUCCCAGGUGUGUCGGAUUCAGUCCGGCACGCUUCACCGCGUGCCGAGGCCGCCUACCGACUAAACUCACCCCCUCUUUCUGCUGCCGGGUCUGGAACCGCACUUAGCAUGAUAUAGGGUUAUCAAAUUUACUUUUAUACUUUUAACGCAAAACUGUUAAAUAAAAAUUAAGUUUUUCCUUUACAAUAGGAAUACUGCAGUUCAGAAAUGGGAUUACUGCAUUACAGAAAGAACAGAAAUGAUCAAAUAUGUUGAAAUUAUUGAUUAACCUGUAGAAACACUAAAAACUGAGUGAAUCUAUUUUUCCUUAUUAUUUUUUAAGAUCUACUUUUUACUUUAAUCAAGUAUUAUUAUCAACAAUUUAAUUACUGUUCGACAUUUUAGCCACUUUAAGGUUAAGUGAAUCAAUGAAAUGUGUAAUAAAUUAAAUAGCUAAAUUGUAUGUGCUAUUAUUAAUUUCAGUUUUAUGUACCAACUAAUAAAUGAGUUUCUCAAAUGAAGGUAUUAAGUGAGGAAAAUUUCUGAAUGAAAUUGAAAAAAUGGGUUUUAAGAGUAUCUCCGGGUUUUCAAACGAAAACAUCUUGUAUAGUCUGUUUUAAAUUAUUAGAGAAUUGUAAAGUCUAUCCACACUGUUAUAUAGCAUAUUUUAGCACAGGUAUUGUUAUUUAGUAUCUUUUUUACAUUCAUGUGAAGGUUUGUAACAAAAAAAUCAAGGUUAUUUUAACAAUAACGUCGCAAGUGUAAAAAAUACUUUCAUCCUUUUUAUUUUGGGUACUAUUGCUAAAAAUAGUCUAAAGGCGCAUUUAAAUCAAAGCGAACACGAACGAACGAACGAAUUCGUUCGUUAACUUUAUUGUAUUUGUACAGCGAAUCGAGCACGACCGAACGAAUUCGUUCGCAUUCGCACAUGUUCCAACCGAUGUCGGUAAGUGAGCGAAUCAUCAAAGGAAAUCGUUGUUCAAUGUGGACAGUGGAUAGACGGUAGCGAACGAAUUCGUUUAGAAGUACUGAUUUAAUUUAUUUACAAACAUUAGUUUGAGAGGGUUGUUUAUUGUGUAGUUGUGAAAACAUAAUUUUGCAAUAUGGAAUAUGCCUAUGAAACCCAAAAUCGAAGCUAUAUAAAAUAAUAAACAGAAAAACUGAUGCUUGUUUUAACAUUUCUAUAGGAAUGGGUUGUGAUGUCUCUGAACUAAAAAAAUGAAUUAGCUUCUGGCAUCAUUUAGACGAGAAAGACAAAAAGAGGGUUCGAAGUGGUUUAAUGUUUUUAUUGGAUAAAUUUCAACCCAGAAACACUAAUGAGGUAACCAAAUCAAAUUAAUUGCUAAAAUUAAUUAAAAGCAAAUUUAUUUUGAUACACCAAUUUUAUAAUUUAUUAUUUAAACAUAUAUAGUCAUAAUAUCAAGAGCAAGUAACUUUUUCGAGGAAGAAUUUUAAGAAAGCUGGUUCUUUAUGUUAUUUUCUAAGCUCCCUCAAACAGCGUAUAAUACCUGCUACCUGCUAUUUUUGUAAGCUAUUAUUGUAUUAAAAUUUACCCAGCAAGAAACACGAAAAUAAACUUAAACACAAUGUGUGACUAGUGUGACUGGCACUGGCCCAUCUUAAAAACAUCUGCGGGCAAUAUGCACUCCCGAGCAUCAACGAAUGCGAACGUUCGCUUCAAUGUAAAUGGCCCUACUUUGUAGCGAACGAAUGACCAAGCGAACACUUACGAAUUCGUUUCUUGGUUCGUUCGUUCGUGUUCGCUUUGAUUUAAAUGCGCCUUAACAAUGCAUCAAUAUAUAAUAUUUUAGGUACCUCUAUAACAAGGUGUGGAUUGAUUGAUAAAAAAAAACCAAAUUAUUAACUAAUAUUAUGUUUUUAACUACUUUUAGUGAUUUUUCCAUAUUAUGUCACAUAAAAAAUUCCCAUUAUUAAUCUGUAUAAUGUUUACAAGUAAUGAUAUAUUUCCUAUAUAUUUUUAUUUUUUUUUUUUUAAUGUUAAAUAAGUUGCUGGUUCUUAUCAUUUGUUGUGUUAAACUAUUAAUUAAGCUUGUCAUUGUUCAUACUCCUAUUGUUGAUAAGUAAACUUUAUUUUUCUAUUAGUUUUUUUAUUAUAUAUUCUGUGAUUUCUUUAACAUGCAUUGAUUGAGCUUAAAAAAAUAGUAAAAAACGGUUUUAAGUAAGAAAUUUUCCGUUUUAUUUAUGCUUAAAACUUACUAACAUUUCAUUUGACUUUCCUAUUACUGAAUAAUAUAAAAUGGGGUGAUGAAUAAAAAAAUAAACUGAGGCGAAUCUGUUUUCUUGAGUGUUCUUAUUUUUUGGCCAAAGGUUGUGGGUUCUAAAUUCUCCAAUUUUUUAGCGAACCAACUCUAUUUUAUUCAAGUAAGCCAUUACGGCCCAUGUUUAUUUAGUAUUGAGACUAAUUCCUAAAAGUAGGAAUGAAUUCAAACACAAUAUACUAAUAGUCCAAGAGGCAGCGCUGAAAAAUCUCUUUGAAUUUACUAAAGCUAAAUUUUUCACAGUUGAUUGCUGUGAUUGUGUAGAGAAACAUGCUGCGGUCGGUCAAGCGAAACGUAGAACACGGGUUACUGAGAGGGUAUCAAAGUUGCUUUCCUACGAAGGUAAUUAAAUCCAUGUACUAAGGCUGAAAAUCAAUACACACAUUCUAAAUUAAAUAUAAAUAAAAGUUGUUAUAGUCGGUCAGCUGUAUGACGGGGCAGAGCCGGUCGGUCGGCUUCAGUGAAUGUACAGGAUUAUGCACUAUAUUUUGACCCCCGUGUAAACUGCUUUAUUUACAGAAUUAGAAAAAAAUGUAAAAUACAAAAGUUAUUCGAUUUUUAAAUUAUGAUUUUUUAACAUAUAUAUCCUAAUAGUGACGUCAUCCAUUUGGGCGUGAUGACGUAAUCGACUAUUUUUUUUUAAAUGGGAAUAGGGGUCGAGUUCUAGCUGAUUUGAAAGGUUAUUCAAUUCCCUAUUCAGUAAUUUAAACAUUAACAUGAUUAAUUAUACAGGGUGUCCAAAAAAAAGUUUUAAUUAAAUUAAUUGUUUAAUUAAUAAUUAAAAAAAAAUUUUUGGGCACUCUGUAUAAAUAAUGAUCUUAAUGUUUAUAGUACUGUAUAGAGAAUUGAAUAACCUUUCAAAUAAGCUAGCACACGACCCCUAUUCUCAUUUAAAAAAAAUAGUCGAUUACGUCAUCACGCCCAGAUGUAUGACGUCACUAGUACGAUAUAUUUGUCAAAAAAUCAUAAUUAAAAAAUCGAAUACCUUUUGUAUUUUACAUUUUUUUCUAAUUCUGUAAAUAAAGCAGUUUACAAGGGGGUCCAAAUAUAGUGAAUAACCCUGUACAUUCAUUGGGGCCGACCGAUCGGCUCUGUCCCGUCAUAUAUCUGACCGACUAUAAUAACUUUUAUUUAUAUUCAAUUUAGAACGUGUGUACUGAUUUUCAGCCUUAGUAAAUGGAUUUAAUUACCUUCGUAGGAAAGCAACUUUGAUACCCUCUCAGUAACCCCUGUUCUACGUUUCGCUUGACCGACCGCAGUAUGUUUCUCUACACAAUCACAGUAAUCAACUGUGAAAAAUUUAGCUUUAGUAAAUUCAAAGAGAUUUUUCAGCGCUGCCUCUCCGUCUACAACCCAUUUGAAAUUAUCAAAUAGUACUUACUGUCUAUAGAACAAACUUUUAAUUUGCUAUUAUAAAGAAACAUCAAGAUUAAAUACAAUGUUUCACUUGUUGCGUCGCAAAUAGUAAAGCUUGGCAAGCAAGGUGUAGAUUUUUAACAAUGUAGCUUUAUCUUCUCUUGUCCAUAAUGCUUAAAAGGUAUAACUAGAAGAGAUAAUGAUGGGAACUAGACAGACAAUAGAUGAAACCAAAUUGUAACAUGUAAGAAGAAUAAGGAUCAAUUUGACAUACUUGAAAGUAAGGUGCCAAACAGUGUUAGAGUGAACAGAGACAAAAAUAGAGUACAAUAAACACCUAACUGCAAAAAAAACACAAGGGUUGGCCAAUUUUAUAACAAGAACAGUGUAUUAUUUAGGGAAUAAAUUAAGCACGGUAAAUUUUUAUGAAUGUAUUUUUGGUCGAGAGAGGACUGUCUAACUAGCCGAUCAUUUACAUUGAAUGGAACAAAACAAACACAGCGAAUGAAAAUAAUUCUGGACUAUAACUAUACUCUAUAAACAAAUGCACAUAUAGAUAUUAAAUUAUAUUUCAAACAUAAAGUUUGAAAGGAGCAUAUUUUUUGUGUGUGAAUUUGAUGGCCUUGGCCGAGCCAAUUAGCCAGACAUUUUGUUAUUUUAAAAACAAACAAAUUUGUUUUUUCAAUCAGAGGAAUUGUUUCUUUAUUUCUAACUCUAAAUACAUAACAAAUUAACAUAUUACAAUUAUUAUCUAAAUAAUCCACUAUUUUGGUUGUAAAUAUUCUUUCUUGUACAUAUUUAUUUUUUUUGUAUUUUUUUAUAUCUUUAAUUUGUUUUUUUUAUUAUUUUUUUUAUUAUUAUUUUUUAAUAACUGUUUUUUACUACGCUAAGACAUAAACCCGAUUCAACAUCUCGGAGGUUUACAUCUUUUUAGUUUUUUUUUUGCUUUUUUUACUUUUUUUGCUUUUUUUCUCUUUUUUUUUGCUUUUUCUUUAUAAGGGGCAUAUUGUUACAAAUACUACCAGUUUGAAUAGAAAUGAAUUAUACAGAAAUUCUAAUUUAAUCUUACCUAAAUUGUAGCAUCGAUGUAUAGCCGCAGUUAUGUUGGCUGCAGUGUCUUCACUAACCCUUAAGAUUUCUUGAAGCCAAUUUAUUAUUUGAAACAUGUUCCUUCCGUUUUGAAGAUCCCAUUUUUAAAAGAAGCUUCAGAUAACUAGUAGAUCCACGAGGAAAAUAAACUUCCUGUAGCUGGCUGUAUACCAUAAAUCACAAAAAUACUAGAUUUGUUGUAAAAGGUAUAUUUUACAAUACAAUAAAUAAGGGUCAUAAGACAAAACGUUUUCGGAUUAAGAAAUCCAUCAUCGGUGUUCUAAAAGCCAAAAAAAUAGCAUGCCUGAGCCACCAAAAUGUGUUGGGUAAAAACCCUUUAAAUGUAAAAGAUUAUGUUAUAUUACAUAUUUAUAUAAUAUGUAAAUGAUGUUCUAGAUAUGCAUGGAUGUUACCCAGGGCAACACAGGACUCUUCCCACGUGGAUGGAAUUUUUUUGGAGAAAACCUCACAUAUUGGAUUUCAAUGGCCAACUCAAUGGCAACUUCAGUUGACCAUUGAAAUCCAAUAUGUGAGGUUUUCUCAAAAAAAAAUCCAACCACUUGGGAAGAGUCCUGUGUUGCCCUUGGUAACAUCCAGGCAUAUCUAGAACAUCAUUUACAUUUUAUAUAUAACAUAACAUAAUCUUUUACAUUUAAAGGGUUUUUACCCAACACAUUUUGGUGGCUCAGUUAUGCUAUUUUUUUUUUUUUGGCUUUUAGAACACUGAUGAUAGAUUUCUUAAUCCGAAAACGUUUUGUCUUGUGACCCUUAUUUAUUGUAUUUUAAAAUAUACCUUUUACAACAAAUCUAGUAUUUUUUAACUAGUAGAUGUUUAAUCAAAAUUUGGUCUUCUACGGAACUGAUUAAAAUUGUUAAGAUCCAGAGCCCUGAUUUUAUUUAACACUUUGACUAAUAUGUAUAUGAAUUUGAUACACAUUAGUAGAACUUAUUCAAGCGACAAAAAGUGGCCAGGCUGUGAAAACUUAUGAGGAUAAAUAUGUCUAGGAGUUAAAGUGUUUUAAUUUCGAUGUCUAAAUUUAUUCAUUUCGAUUUUAGUUACAACUGGGGAUAUUUACUUUAUCACUCUGUCACUGCUCAGAAUUUGCGAUGGCCCUCUUAGCUUAUAGGCAAACGUUUGUUUACGUUACAUAUUUCAUUUGAGUUGGUCAAUCACGUUGUGGCAAUUCUCAAUUAUUAUAUUUCUAAUUUAAUACUAUCCUCUCUAAUUCCUCCAAAACCAGCAAAUUUCCAUAAAACGCAGCCAUAUUAAUACUUUUUGGUUCAGUUUUCCUUGCAAGAAACAAUCAAAACACGACACCUCCAAAACUAAACCUAGCCUCGCUUCUGCAAGUCCAGCCAGUCAUGUCCAUGUCAGAUUAAUUUCGACCCGAAAUGAAAUUUCAACCACUUUUUUGCAGUUGAAAUUAAUUUUGAUAUAUUAUCGAAAACUAAUGACGUUAGCUCCACCGAAAUCCACAAUGCUCGGAAAGUCGCAUUUCGACGUCGCCAUAUUAAUUUCGACGUGUUUGAGUCGAAAUGUCAAGUAGAAUCAGGCCCAGGUCGUCGAAAUUCUCAAACUUUAUUGAUGGCCUUUGAAAACGCUACAAAAACGACAAAGAUGUUCUCGGUGUAAUGCAAGUAGUUGUUAUUUUAUUAUCUCUAUCGUGUUGUUCUGAAGCUAUUUUCUUGUGGCAUUUUUUAAUUAACUAUUUAGAUGGGAAAUAAGCCACAAUUAAAUUGAAAAAAAUAAUUUUAUUAAGGAAUUAUUAGCAAUAUUAUACAGGAACGCAACGCAUAAAUAUUGGCAAUAUCAUUUUAAAGUCUUCUACUUUAAAAUGUAUAAUAUAUGUCUGAAUUGCCGAUAUAAAUGAGUCAGAUUAAAUAAAUUAGAAGAACUUUUUACUAAGCAACCACAUUUUUGUUUAAUUUAGUAGUAUUUUGUAUUUCAACAACGACACCCGAUUUAGGCGUCGAAACGUUAAUAAAAUUUUUUUUCAAUUUAAUUGUGGCUUGUUUCCCAUCUAAAUAGUUAAUUAAAUCUAUCUUUUGGCAUUUUAACAACUUCAAGUAAUCGGUUAGCAGUGGUUAACAUUAUGAAACAUGACUCGGUCGCGCGUAGUUAACGUGGUUUACGUGCCCUCCGAUGCACGGUGAUGGCUCAGUUAAAUUAGAAACUUAAAAUUUUCUUGUGUCUAAGUCCAUUAAAAAACACAGUUCAUUGUCUGGUGAAAAAAACAGGUCUACAAGAAGUCUAAUUUUAGAACAAAAGUACUAAACUUCUAUACGUUCGGAAGCCUGGAUGAUAAAAAGAUCGAAUUUGAUUGACACCUCAUUUUGAAAGUUGUUCUAUAUUUGUAGGCAUAUUAUGGACUGACACAGUUAAAACCGAAAAAAAAUGUUGUAGAAGGGAUUGUAGGGAAGAAAACCAAUACCCAUAAAAAACUUUUGGGUUAAAAUAAUGGGUUAUGUAAUAUAGAAUUCAAUUGUAAUGCCUAAAAAAUUGGAAAAUAUAACUAUCUUUCUUGGCCUUUUCUUAUUAAUAUCAUAUCGUCUUAUGAAAUACGGUUGAAAAAACUUACAUAUUUGUAUAACUUCAUUCAAAUUGUCAAAUUAAAUUAUCAUGGUGUAGUGCUAACCCUAUUGUUUCAAUUAGAAAAAAAACUUUAAUAUUCUGUGAAUAUUAAUUAUUGCUUAUAAAAUGUUAUAUUAUUUUUUCUGUAUAUAUUGUAAAAAGUUAAUUUUUUUGAAAUAAAUUUUUACACAAGUA